GAAGUUUCAUCUGGUACACUGUGGACUGCAUCACUAAAUAAAACUGGCUGCUGUAGCGGCAAUUAGCUAGGCCUUUGUCGGUCACUCAGUCUUAACGAAAGUUCCCUCUCAAGGUAAUUACUGGAGUCUAUAUGAAGAGCACCUGGUAACAGUUCCUAUUCAGAAAGGUUCAUGAACACCUGCUACACUUCUUGUCCGUUCAACAAGUAAAUACGUCAUUAGAUCUUGAUUCGCAUAUGCCUACUUUAUGCUGAUGAUACGUGAAAUUCUCAAUAAGAAUGCAGCAGCAACUAUGCACUUGUAUUGAAAGAGUUCAUUAAUUAGUCUCAUUAACACUUACGAAAUUGUUACGUGUAAUUCUUGUGAAACAAAGAUAUCGAUAAUCUAAUAAUUCGUGCAGAAUACUUAUCCACAUAUAUAGAUAAACCGUGCAUGAAUGGAGGGACAGCACUACUCCAGUGCGCGUGGAUUCAAAUAUCACUGAAAUUGCAACAAAAUGCCCGAACAAUCAGUAUAAUGCAUGAAGAAAAACUGAAAUGCAUCAUGAAUUGUUUGUACCUACCCGCAUAAUUCCAUUUUAUCCUAUUUCUCAUUGUUUCUUUUUCAAUUUAGACAACAGGGUGGAGGAAGAUUGUUCAAAUCCAUUCUAAGAAGUAUGAACUUAACCGUACAUCACUAAUGUACACAAUAUAACAAUUUGCUGUCUCCUAGUUAGGACUACCUCAAUAAACGUUGCUGGGGUCAAUACAGGCAGCUGAGUAUCUCCUCUCCGGGACCCAAAAGUUGGAACAGAACCAAUCUCUUGGCAUAUAGUAAUAUGUAGAUCUUUAUCAACAACAAUCCUUGCGAUUAAAACAGGCAACUGCUGGACUAGAAACAACCCCAAAAUUUGUGAUAAAAGAUUUACAAACAUGCCUAUAUGCGAAUCUCUAUCGACAACAAUCCUUGCGAUCAAAACAGGCAACUGUUGGACUACAAACAACCCCAAAAUUUGUGAUAACAGAUUUGCAAACAUGCCUAUAUGCGAAUCUCUAUCUGCUUAUUGGUUCUAGCUGAACCUCCAUGCGAUCAGAGGACCGUGAGUCUUUCUCUGCCAUUGCCUGGCUUGGACUGAGGAGGUCAAUGUCCUCCUCCUCACCACUACUCAGAACCCAAUUGCUUCUGCCGGAUAUUCUAUCCCGCCUUCUCUUCCUCUCACGAUACUCCAGGUACAUCACUGUCAAAGCACCAACAAGAAACCACAGAAUUAAAGCCCACAUGAGCCUGUGAACAUCUUCAUCAUCAUACCUCUCUCCUAAAUGCUUCAUUCCAGUUAUAAGUGCUGCAACCCUGCCAACAAUCCUCAGAGGACCGUGAGUCUUUCUCUGCCAUUGCCUGGCUUGGACUGAGGAGGUCAAUGUCCUCCUCCUCACCACUACUCAGAACCCAAUUGCUUCUGCCGGAUAUUCUAUCCCGCCUUCUCUUCCUCUCACGAUACUCCAGGUACAUCACUGUCAAAGCACCAACAAGAAACCACAGAAUUAAAGCCCACAUGAGCCUGUGAACAUCUUCAUCAUCAUACCUCUCUCCUAAAUGCUUCAUUCCCGUUAUAAGUGCUGCAACCCUGCCAACAAUGGCACCCCUGCCAACAAUGACAUGGAUGUACUCCCAAAGACGCCGUUUCGAAGAAACCUCCUCCCCUGCCGCAGGUUUCUUAGGUCGUAAGUAUGCAUUGACAGGUUGUGCAAUACAAAGAACUAUGGCCAGCAUUCCAAACUUGACGUGUAGGGAGCUAAAACUCAAACCGCGAAGUUCUGCAACAGCAAAGAGAAAGCCAAGGAAGACAAUUGCUAAUCCUGAAUACUGACAUUCCAAACUUGACAUGUAGGGAGCUAAAACUCAAACCGCGAAGUUCUGCAACAGCAAAGAGAAAGCCAAGGAAGACAAUUGCUAAUCCCGAAUACUGUAGAUAAACAUGAAUCUGAAACCAC
This 1970-nucleotide long non-coding RNA is filed under the name Nicotiana benthamiana. RNAcentral's name for it is "long non-coding RNA (NBEN_LNC006191)". Lineage: Eukaryota; Viridiplantae; Streptophyta; Magnoliopsida; Solanales; Solanaceae. The record is from RNAcentral.